This 631-nucleotide long non-coding RNA is filed under the name Monodelphis domestica (gray short-tailed opossum). RNAcentral's name for it is "lncRNA (ENSMODG00000043931.1)". The record is from RNAcentral. Lineage: Eukaryota; Metazoa; Chordata; Mammalia; Didelphimorphia; Didelphidae.
GAAAAGAGAAAAAAUCUUCAAGAUACUUUCUCUCUGUCAUUGCAACCUUGACCAUAUUGGAAUUGCAAAGAUAAAGCCAUAGUGAAUUUCAGAGUAUUACUUUGUAUAAUUUUUAUUAAGGAAAAGUAAGGAUUUAAUUCUGUUAAAGCUUUAGGGGCAAAAAACCCACUUAGAUAAUUCCCCUGGUCCCCAAAGAUUAAUAGCCUAUUGUUAAGCAAAGCAGCUAGUUUGGAAGAAAUUCCAGAGUGAACAAACAAACAAAACAGGUAUCCAGAGUGAAGGAAAAAUGUAUAAAUUAUUUGUAGUUUAAAUUUACCUGGUACUUAACUCUUCCUUGACCAUGAAAAGAGAAAUUCUUGGAUAAAUCAGAUACCCUCUGUAAUUCUCUCAGUUCAGAGAUUCUCCCUCUGACUUUAUAAACUCUUCUCAUCUUAGAUUCCUAAAUAAAAGUGUGGAAUGAAGGUGCUGAAAAAAUGAAGGGAAACUUGAGUUAUCCUCCAGUUUCAGAAAUUUAUUAGCUUUCUGAUUUCCUAGAUUUACUUACAAGAGAAGUGGAUAUUAUACUAGUGAAAGACAAGCAAAGAAGCUGGACUAGAACAAGUGUGUCCAAAGGAGAACAGUAGUAAAGGUA